ACAGAUCGUUCAGAGUUUGAUCCUGGCUCAGGACGAACGCUGGCGGCGCGCUUAACACAUGCAAGUCGAGCGAUGAAAUUUUAACAGAUCCCUUCGGGGUGAAGAUAAAAUGGAUUAGCGGCGGACGGGUGAGUAACACGUGAGUAACCUGCCUUAGACAUUGGGAUAGCCUCGGGAAACCGGGAUUAAUACCGAAUAAAAUCACAGAUACACAUGUAUCCAUGAUCAAAACUCCGGUGGUCUAAGAUGGACUCGCGUCCCAUUAGCUAGUUGGUGAGGUAACGGCCCACCAAGGCGACGAUGGGUAGCCGGCCUGAGAGGGUGAACGGCCACAUUGGAACUGAGAGACGGUCCAA
Molecule: ribosomal RNA, 356 nt
Filed under: uncultured bacterium
Lineage: Bacteria
Description: bacterial SSU rRNA
Rfam family: Bacterial small subunit ribosomal RNA
Source: RNAcentral